GUGCUCACUUCGGCAGCACAUACACUAAAAAUCGGAACAAUACAGAGAAGAUUAGCAUGCUCCUAUGCAAAGGUGACAAACAAAUCAUGAAGCAUUUCAUGUUUUU
Nycticebus coucang (slow loris) is the source of this 106-nucleotide small nuclear RNA. NCBI's taxonomy places the organism in Eukaryota, Metazoa, Chordata, Mammalia, Primates, Lorisidae. The record is from RefSeq and is a predicted model, not a curated record.